UUGCAAGCAAGGGUAAGACGAAGAAAGUAUAUUUCCAAACAUGGAAAGACCGGACUACUGCCUUAUAAUCUGCGUGAAUGGCAAGAUUUAGAAGUGCGUUCCAUUCACAUGACUACAAUCAGUAAGGCGUACUAAAUCCUAUCAGGAUGGUUUCCAGAACUACUGGAGUGUUCCUGGGUGCUUAUUUACUGUACUUGCCAAGUACAAAUAGCAAAGUCAUCACCUUGUGACCGUGACCCCAUGUGAGUACCCUGUAAAAGUACCCCGCUAUGUCACAUUCAUCCUCUUUCCAAUUCUCAUCUUGCCAAGGAGUUAAGGAUAUAAG
Ictalurus punctatus (channel catfish) is the source of this 325-nucleotide long non-coding RNA. Lineage: Eukaryota; Metazoa; Chordata; Actinopteri; Siluriformes; Ictaluridae. The record is from Ensembl.